GUUCCAUUGUGCACUUUUCUCUGCUGAGCAAAAUACUGGAGGCAGGAAUUUAGCAUAAUGGGUACUAGAAUGUAGGAUGCAUAACCCCUGCUUCACACCUGUGGACCCUGGCAUGCUGCCCCCUUCUCCAGGCUCUUAUGUCUUGAGCUACAUAUUGAAGAGCAUACCAAUGAUCGGGUGUGGUAGAGAAAAGCAAUACUACGAGUUCAGCAUGUGGUCUGUGGCUGGUUCUUGAAGCAGGAGAGUCUCUAUUGUAAGGACGACACAAGAAAAACAGGAAUCAGAGAGGACAAGAGGCGGGCCCCUAAAACCACCUGCAUGGUGCUAUUGGGACCAACUGAGGAGACCUUUGAGAUCACGUGAGGAAGUCUUGGCGUCCCCGUGCCUUCCUUUCUUCCCCGACGUGAGAACUUUUCUCGACGUCACAUAGACGAGAAAAGAGCAGUGCCUGCACCUCAGGAAAACACGCAGGAGUUUUGUUUCUAAACUCCCCUACCUGCAGGUGGGCGAGUCACAGUUUUGUUACUGCUGGGUUGAAUCCCGUCCCUGGUGCCGACACAGAAGCCACUCUGCAGGCCCCGGGCGCGCCACGGUGCAGUGGAUUGAUGGGGACAAAGAGGCCAGGCCUGCCUUGUUUGCAUCUUCCCGAUGACGCAAGAACGUUGCCAGCAAACAGGGGCAGGCGGGAUGCUGGUGGAUGCAGGAAGCUAGGUCGAGCCCCCUGCACCUUCUGAGUCUCUAACAGGAACUCCCGAGAUCCCUCCCGAGAUGGCUGCCUGCCGACCUUCUUGCCUCGAGUCUAUCGGAAGGAGCGGAGGAGCUCUAGCCGAUGAAUACAAGCAGGACUCAAACCUAAUCCAGGGAAGCCACAAGGUCUCUUUCCUCUGCCUGCUGCCUUCUGCCAGCAAGUAAGAAAUUUCCCUUCCCAGGAGGAAAGGCAAGUUGAUGAUAUCAGAUUUUGACCACGUCAACCCUUGUAAUGAUAGCAAAUUGAAGGACUUUGCUCCAGGCUACCUCAGGGAUCACUGACCAGGCCACUAAUGGAAUCCCUUAGCCAGAUUUCCUUCUGGGUUCCAUCAGAAGCCUCCCCUUAUCAGUGACUCUGGAAGUGCUACUUCCUUGAGCAGGGAAUUACAGGCCAGUAGUUUAAGCCAGAAGGGGCUGACACUGUGAAUGGUGCAUUUAGCACACUGACAUAGAGAUAAAGAAGAAAUAUGGGGACCUAUUCUGUAGAUCAAGAUCUGUGAAGCACAAAGAAGAAAUCCGGAGCCUCUGCUUCUUAUGGAGUUUACUUGGGUUUCUUUGCAAGAAUGAAGAAAUACAUGUCUUUUUACAACUUUA
Suricata suricatta (meerkat) is the source of this 1341-nucleotide long non-coding RNA. RefSeq lists it as uncharacterized. The transcript is spliced from 4 exons. The record is from RefSeq and is a predicted model, not a curated record. NCBI's taxonomy places the organism in Eukaryota, Metazoa, Chordata, Mammalia, Carnivora, Herpestidae.